UUGCUUCAUGAAACUGUGUAUUCUGUGACUUUGGUAAGAUUUAUUUCGUUGCGCGGAAUAGGAACCCUUGCCGAUCCUUGCAAUGGCAGCCGGAGCAACGUUGCAGAAGGCCAUCGACAUCGUGACUCAGGCUACGGAAGAGGACAGGAAUAAAAAUUAUGAGGAAGCCCUGCGGUUGUACGAGCAUGGCGUUGAGUACUUUCUGCAUGCAAUCAAAUAUGAAGCGCAGGGUGACAAAGCGAAGGACUCGAUACGAGCCAAAUGCUUCCAGUACCUGGAUCGGGCGGAAAAGUUGAAGGCGUACUUGAAAAAGGGCAAGAAGAAACCGGUAAAGGAUGGCGACGGACGGGCCGCGAAGGACGACAAGAAGAACGGCGGCUCCGAUUCGGAUUCCGACGAUGCGGAAAAGAAGAAUCUGCAGAGCAAGCUGGAAGGUUCAAUCGUGGUCGAAAAGCCGAAUGUGAAGUGGUCCGACGUAGCCGGCCUCGAGGGAGCAAAAACGGCUCUCAAGGAGGCAGUCAUUUUGCCGAUUAAAUUCCCGCAUAUGUUCACCGGGAAACGUAUGCCCUGGAAGGGAAUACUGCUGUUUGGCCCACCCGGAACGGGUAAAUCGUACCUAGCGAAAGCGGUCGCAACCGAGGCAAACAACUCGACUUUCUUCUCCGUCUCGAGCUCCGACCUGGUCUCGAAGUGGCUCGGUGAAUCGGAGAAGCUUGUGAAAAACCUAUUCGAGCUGGCCCGUAGCCACCGGCCGAGCAUCAUCUUCAUCGACGAAGUAGAUUCACUGUGCUCCGCCCGGUCGGACAACGAGAGCGAAAGUGCACGACGCAUUAAAACACAGUUUCUGGUGCAGAUGCAAGGCGUGGGCAGCGACAAUGAGGACAUACUGGUACUAGGAGCCACCAAUACGCCUUGGAUUCUUGAUUCCGCCAUACGGCGCCGCUUCGAGAAACGUAUUUACAUCCCGCUGCCAGAUGAACCUGCCCGGCUCAUGAUGUUUAAGCUUCAUCUUGGCAGUACGGCCCACACAUUGACGGAGGAAAACUUGCGGUCACUGGCGGCCAAAACGGAGAGAUUCUCUGGUUCGGACAUUUCGAUUGUUGUACGAGAGGCACUCUUUAUACCGGUCCGGAAGGUACAGACAGCAACACAUUUUAAGCAAGUAACGGGCCCGUCGCCGGUGGACAAGACAACAAUUUGCAACGAUUUACUGGUACCGUGUAGCCCUGGCGAUCCCGGUGCGAUCGAGAUGACGUGGGUCGAUGUUCCGGGCGACAAACUGUACGAGCCCGCCGUAACGAUGGCCGACAUGCUGAAAUCUGUAACCAACACAAAGCCCACUGUAAACGAGGACGACAUGAAGAAGCUCGAUAAAUUCACCCAAGACUUUGGGCAGGAAGGCUAGGCGAGAGAGGGCGAACUGCAUUCCCGUUACACAUUACCAGCCGGAGCAACGGAGUUACUUCUAUCUACUACUGACGGUCAGACGGUUUAGAGGGCGCAAAUGGGAAACCGGUCUCCUUAUGCUGCAUCGACCGCACCGCGACGCGGGAACCGUACCGUAAACAAUUUAAAACAUAUUGCUACGAGGGACUUCGCCAGGAAGUCCAUGCCUCAGCAGUAGGGAUACCAGAAUGCCAUAUCCAC
RNA transcript from Anopheles cruzii, 1647 nucleotides. It is a transcript of the gene named vacuolar protein sorting-associated protein 4-like, with no coding region annotated. The transcript is spliced from 4 exons. The record is from RefSeq and is a predicted model, not a curated record. Lineage: Eukaryota; Metazoa; Arthropoda; Insecta; Diptera; Culicidae.